This 253-nucleotide ribosomal RNA is filed under the name uncultured bacterium. RNAcentral describes it as "partial 16S ribosomal RNA". It matches the Rfam family "Bacterial small subunit ribosomal RNA", at positions 524 to 776 of the family's 1533-position model. The record is from RNAcentral.
UACAGAGGGUGCGAGCGUUGUCCGGAAUCACUGGGCGUAAAGGGCGCGUAGGCGGUCUGCUAAGCGUGUGGUGAAAGCUCGGGGCUCAACCCCGAGUCGGCCGUGCGAACUGGUGGACUGGAGCACGUCAGAGGCAGGCGGAAUUCCGGGUGUAGCGGUGGAAUGCGUAGAGAUCCGGAAGAACACCGGUGGCGAAGGCGGCCUGCUGGGACGUGGCUGACGCUGAGGCGCGACAGCGUGGGGAGCAAACAGG